UGAGGAAUAUUGGUCAAUGGGCGAGAGCCUGAACCAGCCAAGCCGCGUGAGGGAAGAAGGCGCUCAGCGUCGUAAACCUCUUUAGCCGGGGAACAAAGAGCUUCUCGGGAAGGAGCGAUGAGUGUACCCGGAGAAUAAGCAUCGGCUAACUCCGUGCCAGCAGCCGCGGUAAUACGGAGGAUGCGAGCGUUAUCCGGAUUUAUUGGGUUUAAAGGGUGCGCAGGCGGACAGACAAGUCUGCGGUAAAAUCGCGGGGCUCAACCCCGCCGAGCCGUGGAAACUUUCUGACUAGAGUAGGCGAGAAGUAUGCGGAAUGCGCGGUGUAGCGGUGAAAUGCUUAGAGAUCGCGCAGAACUCCGAUUGCGAAGGCAGCAUACCGGCGCCUUACUGACGCUCAGGCACGAAAGCGUGGGGAUCGAACAGG
Molecule: ribosomal RNA, 424 nt
Filed under: uncultured bacterium
Lineage: Bacteria
Description: bacterial SSU rRNA
Rfam family: Bacterial small subunit ribosomal RNA
Source: RNAcentral